RNAcentral lists this ribosomal RNA (435 nucleotides) under Paenibacillus sp. Its description in RNAcentral is "bacterial SSU rRNA". It matches the Rfam family "Bacterial small subunit ribosomal RNA", at positions 89 to 510 of the family's 1533-position model. The record is from RNAcentral. Lineage: Bacteria; Bacillati; Bacillota; Bacilli; Caryophanales; Paenibacillaceae.
GGGUUAGCGGCGGACGGGUGAGUAACACGUAGGCAACCUGCCUUCAAGGCUGGGAUAACAUCCGGAAACGGAUGCUAAUACCGGAUACACCACUUCGCUGCAUGGCGAAAUGGGGAAAGGCGGAGCAAUCUGCCACUUGGAGAUGGGCCUGCGGCGCAUUAGCUAGUUGGUGGGGUAACGGCUCACCAAGGCGACGAUGCGUAGCCGACCUGAGAGGGUGAUCGGCCACACUGGGACUGAGACACGGCCCAGACUCCUACGGGAGGCAGCAGUAGGGAAUCUUCCGCAAUGGACGAAAGUCUGACGGAGCAACGCCGCGUGAGUGAUGAAGGUUUUCGGAUCGUAAAGCUCUGUUGCCAGGGAAGAACGAGUGGGAGAGUAACUGCUCCUGCUAUGACGGUACCUGAGAAGAAAGCCCCGGCUAACUACGUGCCA